UACCGCCUACGGGGGGCAGCAGUGAGGAAUAUUGGUCAAUGGUCGGGAGACUGAACCAGCCAAGCCGCGUGAGGGAUGAAGGUACAGAGUAUCGUAAACCUCUUUUGUCAGGGAACAAAGGCGGGGACGUGUCCCCGGAUGAGUGUACCUGAAGAAAAAGCAUCGGCUAACUCCGUGCCAGCAGCCGCGGUAAUACGGAGGAUGCGCGCGUUAUCCGGAUUUAUUGGGUUUAAAGGGUGCGCAGGCGGUCUGGUAAGGCAGCGGUCCA
Molecule: ribosomal RNA, 268 nt
Filed under: uncultured bacterium
Lineage: Bacteria
Description: partial 16S ribosomal RNA
Rfam family: Bacterial small subunit ribosomal RNA
Source: RNAcentral